Molecule: ribosomal RNA, 253 nt
Filed under: uncultured bacterium
Lineage: Bacteria
Description: partial 16S ribosomal RNA
Rfam family: Bacterial small subunit ribosomal RNA
Source: RNAcentral
UACGAAGGGGGCUAGCGUUGCUCGGAAUCACUGGGCGUAAAGGGUGCGUAGGCGGGUCUUUAAGUCAGGGGUGAAAUCCUGGAGCUCAACUCCAGAACUGCCUUUGAUACUGAAGAUCUUGAGUUCGGGAGAGGUGAGUGGAACUGCGAGUGUAGAGGUGAAAUUCGUAGAUAUUCGCAAGAACACCAGUGGCGAAGGCGGCUCACUGGAUCGGUACUGACGCUGAGGUGCGAAAGCGUGGGGAGCAAACAGG